UUCUUCUCUUCAUCUUUCUCUCUUUUCUUUUCUCUCACGAGACUUGAUUUUUUUCCCGAUCUCACGAGACCUCGAGACCUUCAUCAUCAAUCAUCAAUCACGACCUCGAGACCUUCAUCAUCAAUCACGCCACCGUCGCAAUCUCCGUAGCUCUAAAGGAUGAUGAAGGUGAAACUGUUGUUAUUAGAUCGAGUCCAACUGAUCUGGAAGAUGUGAUCACACAGCCACCAGAAUGAGUCGUAACGUCUCCGUUAUGAAGUAAAGCAAAGUGAGUCGUAACGUCUCCGUCUCUCUUGGUAAUACUUGUUGUGUGGUCGUAGAGAAUUGUGGGAGGUGAUUCUUCCUCUUUGAUUUGUAUUGGGUUUCUGUUGUGUCUUUUUAAACC
Long non-coding RNA from Raphanus sativus (radish), 385 nucleotides. RefSeq lists it as uncharacterized. Lineage: Eukaryota; Viridiplantae; Streptophyta; Magnoliopsida; Brassicales; Brassicaceae. The transcript is spliced from 3 exons. The record is from RefSeq and is a predicted model, not a curated record.